RNAcentral lists this ribosomal RNA (762 nucleotides) under uncultured bacterium. RNAcentral describes it as "bacterial SSU rRNA". It matches the Rfam family "Bacterial small subunit ribosomal RNA", at positions 28 to 776 of the family's 1533-position model. The record is from RNAcentral.
GAUGAACGCUAGCGACAGGCCUAACACAUGCAAGUCGAGGGGCAGCAUUAUUAAAGCUUGCUUUAAUAGAUGGCGACCGGCGCACGGGUGCGUAACGCGUAUGCAACCUACCCAUUACAAGAGGAUAGCCCAGAGAAAUUUGGAUUAAUACUCUAUAGUAUUUACUCUAAGCAUUUAGAGUUUUUUAAAGGAUUCGUUCUGGUAAUGGAUGGGCAUGCGUAUGAUUAGCUAGUUGGUAGGGUAACGGCCUACCAAGGCAAUGAUCAUUAGGGGUUCUGAGAGGAUAGUCCCCCACACUGGUACUGAGACACGGACCAGACUCCUACGGGAGGCAGCAGUGAGGAAUAUUGGUCAAUGGACGCAAGUCUGAACCAGCCAAGUCGCGUGCAGGAUGACUGCCCUAUGGGUUGUAAACUGCUUUUAUAUAGGAAUAAUGUUAGUUACGUGUAACUAAUUGAAUGUACUAUAUGAAUAAGCACCGGCUAACUCCGUGCCAGCAGCCGCGGUAAUACGGAGGGUGCAAGCGUUAUCCGGAUUUAUUGGGUUUAAAGGGUGCGUAGGCGGGUUCAUAAGUCAGUGGUGAAAGUCUGUCGCUUAACGAUAGAAUUGCCAUUGAAACUGUGGAUCUUGAAUACAGUAGAGGUAGGCGGAAUAUAUUGUGUAGCGGUGAAAUGCAUAGAUACGAUACAGAGCACCGAUUGCGAAGGCAGCUUACUAUGCUGAGAUUGACGCUGAUGCACGAAAGCGUGGGUAGCGAACAGG